This 220-nucleotide long non-coding RNA is filed under the name Capsella rubella. RNAcentral's name for it is "long non-coding RNA (CRUB_LNC002045)". The record is from RNAcentral. Lineage: Eukaryota; Viridiplantae; Streptophyta; Magnoliopsida; Brassicales; Brassicaceae.
UAAGCUUUAGUUCGGGUUCAGAUCGAACAUUGAUAUUUGUCACAAUAAUUUUAGUUUGUUUUUUUGUGUGGUAAUUUUAGUUUGUUUUUUUGUGUGGUAAUUUUAGUUUGUAUCAAGGUCCCUGUUUCAUCUUUGUAAUAUUUUCCUCUUUAUAAAAAGUUUGUGGGGAAUAUAUAUGUAAAUCUAAAACUAUAAAGUAAUAUGUGCAAAUAACUCGAAG